RNAcentral lists this ribosomal RNA (440 nucleotides) under uncultured bacterium. Its description in RNAcentral is "partial 16S ribosomal RNA". It matches the Rfam family "Bacterial small subunit ribosomal RNA", at positions 338 to 795 of the family's 1533-position model. The record is from RNAcentral.
CCUACGGGAGGCAGCAGUGGGGAAUAUUGCACAAUGGGGGAAACCCUGAUGCAGCGACGCCGCGUGAGUGAAGAAGUAUUUCGGUACGUAAAGCUCUAUCAGCAGGGAAGAAAAUGACGGUACCUGACUAAGACGCCCCGGCUAACUACGUGCCAGCAGCCGCGGUAAUACGUAGGGGGCAAGCGUUAUCCGGAUUUACUGGGUGUAAAGGGAGCGUAGACGGCAGCGCAAGUCUGGAGUGAAAUCCCAUGGCUUAACCAUGGAACUGCUUUGGAAACUGUGCAGCUAGAGUGCAGGAGAGGUAAGCGGAAUUCCUAGUGUAGCGGUGAAAUGCGUAGAUAUUAGGAGGAACACCAGUGGCGAAGGCGGCUUACUGGACUGUAACUGACGUUGAGGCUCGAAAGCGUGGGGAGCAAACAGGAUUAGAUACCCGAGUAGUC